Sinocyclocheilus anshuiensis is the source of this 309-nucleotide long non-coding RNA. RefSeq lists it as uncharacterized. The record is from RefSeq and is a predicted model, not a curated record. NCBI's taxonomy places the organism in Eukaryota, Metazoa, Chordata, Actinopteri, Cypriniformes, Cyprinidae. The transcript is spliced from 3 exons.
AUAACAGAAAAACCAGGAGUGUGUCCAAAAACCAAUCCUGAAGAUGACAUGUUAGGAGUGUGCUGAGUUGUGUUCCCAAGAUGGUCACUGUCCGAAUGAUGAGAAAUGCUGCAGCAAUGGAUGUGGACAUCAGUGUAUGGCUGUAUCUAAAGUAAAGCCAGGAGUGUGUCCAAAGAGAUUCCUUGGAGUAGGAUUGUGUAAAGGGUUGUGUGUCAAUGACAUUGACUGUCCGAAAGAUGAAAAAUGCUGCAGUACUAAAUGUGGACGCAAAUGUACACAUCCAUAUAAAGUGAGGCCUGGUCUAUGUCU